RNAcentral lists this ribosomal RNA (503 nucleotides) under uncultured bacterium. RNAcentral describes it as "partial 16S ribosomal RNA". It matches the Rfam family "Bacterial small subunit ribosomal RNA", at positions 30 to 523 of the family's 1533-position model. The record is from RNAcentral.
AUUGAACGCUGGCGGCAGGCUUAACACAUGCAAGUCGAGCGGGGUGAUGGUGCUUGCACUAUCACUUAGCGGCGGACGGGUGAGUAAUGCUUAGGAAUCUGCCUAUUAGUGGGGGACAACAUCUCGAAAGGGAUGCUAAUACCGCAUACGUCCUACGGGAGAAAGCAGGGGAUCACUUGUGACCUUGCGCUAAUAGAUGAGCCUAAGUCGGAUUAGCUAGUUGGUGGGGUAAAGGCCUACCAAGGCGACGAUCUGUAGCGGGUCCGAGAGGAUGAUCCGCCACGCGGGGACUGCGCGACGGCCAAGACUCCUACGGGAGGCAGCAGUGGGGAAUAUUGGGCAAUGGGGGGAACCCUGAUCCAGCCAUGCCGCGUGUGUUAAGAAGGCCUUAUGGUUGUAAAGCACUUUAAGCGAGGAGGAGGCUCUUUUGGUUAAUACCCAAGAUGAGUGGACGUUACUCGCAGAAUAAGCACCGGCUAACUCUGUGCCAGCCGCCGCAGUAA